UUCGAUUAACCUAAAGGCGUAAUGAAAGUAAAGGUUCUCCUCGCGAGAACCGAGGGAAGACGGGCGGUCGCGCGCGCGCGAGCGCGCGCGCCGCUCCGCACUCCCGGGGCGUCUCGUUCUCAUCGCGAGAAGAGGCGCACCAAGAGCGUACACGCUGGGACCCRAAAGAUGGUGAACUAUGCCUGGUCAGGACGAAGUCAGGGGAAACCCUGAUGGAGGUCCGUAGCGAUUCUGACGUGCAAAUCGAUCGUCGGAACUGGGUAUAGGGGCGAAAGACUAAUCGAACCAUCUAGUAGCUGGUUCCCUCCGAAGUUUCCCUCAGGAUAGCUGGCGCUCGUCGCGCACGAGUCUCAUCCGGUAAAGCGAAUGAUUAGAGGCAUUGGGGUCGAAACGACCUCAACCUAUUCUCAAACUUUAAAUGGGUGAGAUCUCCGGCUUGCUCGAACAAUAUAUGCGCGCGCGCGCGCGCGGCGUUUAGCGGCGUACGCGCGSGCGCGGUAAAACGCGCUCGCGCUCGAUGUGACGACACCACACGCGCGCGCUCUGAAUCCGCGAGAUACAAAAGGAUCARAGAGUGCCAGGUGGGCCAUUUUUGGUARGCAAAACUGGCGCUGUGUGAUGAACCAAACGUCGAGUUAAAGCGCCUAAAUCGACGCUUAUGGGAUACCAUGAAAGGCGUUGGUAACUUAAGACAGCAGGACGGUGGCCGUGGAAGUCGGA
This 720-nucleotide ribosomal RNA is filed under the name Trigonopterus sp. 916 AR-2022a. RNAcentral's name for it is "partial large subunit ribosomal RNA". The record is from RNAcentral. Lineage: Eukaryota; Metazoa; Arthropoda; Insecta; Coleoptera; Curculionidae.